Molecule: non-coding RNA, 4375 nt
Organism: Amborella trichopoda
Lineage: Eukaryota; Viridiplantae; Streptophyta; Magnoliopsida; Amborellales; Amborellaceae
Source: RefSeq, a predicted model, not a curated record
UUAACCUCAUUUGCUCUCCUAAAACUCCCUCUCAUCUGUCUCCCUCCCGUCUUUCUCCCUCCAUUGACAGAGAGGUCGAGACCUUGGUUUUCACCUAGAGAAAGCCCUUUCGCCUUCCAGCCAUGGUUGUCGACCCAGCUCAUGCCUUGUAAGAGCCAGUCAGGAGAUUUUCAUUCACAACAGGUAAGAAUAUCUGAUGAUUGCCACUCUCUCUCUCUCUCUCUCUCGCUCUCUCUCUCUCUCUCUGUCAAAAUUCAUUUUUUAUAAGCAAAAUGAUGGCCUAAAUCUGUAAAAUUCAAGUUCACUCUUACCAUGUUUGAGAACUCAUGGAUUGGUUGUAAAUGCAUUGUCUCUGUUGGUGUGAUUUUCUAUAUAGAUUUUUUACUUUUCAAGGGAGAAAUUGUAUACAUUACAAUUAAGUUUUAUUUGUUUUAGGGUGCAGAAGUAGGGUCCAACUUCAUCAUUUUGUGGGUUUUUCUUCAUAACAUGUUUUUCUAUAUGGAUUUGGGGAGGUGGGUUUUGUUGGGUUUUUGUGAUUUGUAGCUUUUAAAUCCCGUAGAUCAAUAAAUUCACUCUGCUUCAAGUGCCUAAGAAAAAUGCUAUUGUUUUGAGGUUGUGCUUGAAUUUAACUUCUGAAAAUCUUGUGUUUUCUUUUGUUUUAUUUCCUUUGCUUUGUUUAAGAAGUUCUCCCUUGGAACUCUUCGUGAAAUCCGAGAACUUUUGUUGUGAUUAUCUUUUCGAAAUCAAGGCCUAAUUGGGGUUCCCUUUUAUUUUUAUUCUGAAAUGAUGCCUACUCUUGAUCACCUUCUCUGGAAUUGGGGCUUACUUUCUUGAGUUUCUUUGGCAGCACUACUGAAUAUAUAGUUUCAGUCUUUUGCAUACUAGGAUUUCAGGCUGCCCUUAUGGAAGCAGCCUUAUGCAUCCAAGCAUUUCACAUAUUCCAUUUGUGCUUAUUGUUUUGACUAUUUAUAGAAAAUAGGAGCUUAAGUCUCAUGAUUGGCAUUUCUGAUUGCAUUGGAGAAAGGAUCUAAGGCUUAGAGUAUUAGUUAGGUUAGUUUGUUAAUCGUUCAUGCUUAUCCCUUAAAUAGUUCACAAUGGAUAGAGAGAAAUGCUAUAGUGUGUGAAAGUGACGUUGAAUCCCUGUGUUAAUUGGCAAAACUCUUCUAAUGUCCUAGUUCGCAUGGAACUGACUAAAUGUAAUUUCCAUAUCCAUUGAAGGUAGAUGUUUAUGGAUAAUACAAUCAUGUUAUCCCUUUUUUGUAUGCCUAUGUCAUUUGGUAUUUAUGUCCUGCAUCUUUUUGGUUUGGAGAUGGUGAUGCCCUAUACUGUAGAGCCAAUUUUGACAUGUUGGCACCAAAGGCCUCUCCUUUGUGAAAUUUAUGUUGCAUCCCUAUAUUUUGGUGUAUAUGAGACAAGCAUAAUUGCUGCCAUUUUUUAGGUAGGCAAGUAGAGAGCAUUGGUCAUUCAGGAGAGGAUUAGCGAUGUGACUGGUUCUCAUUCCUUUUAGACCAGAGUCAUGAGGAGCUACCGUGUUUGGGUGGUGAACCUCCUAUUGAGAGCCUACAAUUUGGUUGCUCUUUUGAGUACUAAUUAGUUUCUUUUUUUCUUUUCUUUUCUCUUUUUAGUGGUACAUUGAGAAAUUUAUACAUGGUAUUUCAACUAUGAUUUACCCAAAUUCAGGUUGUAAUGGCUUUAAUUUUGGGUAGCACUAUUCUUGGCACAAUAUAGUUGUAAUUUUGGGGCAUGAAACAAUUUUUGGCAGCUCUACUCUUGGCUGCAAUUUUGGGCAUUGGCACAAUUUUGGCCACUAUUAAUGCCUAUAAUAUACUUUUGAACUUUACAUUGAUAAUCAGUACUAGAAAACAAUAUAUGACUGUAAUAUGCUUUUGAACUUGAGUCCUAUUUUACAGGUACCUAAGUAGAUCCCAUAUAGAAACCUCUCCAUGAAACCAUGCUUGUAGAGGGCAUUGCUUCAAUUGUAGAAAACCCAUUUAAAACAGUUCCUAGUGAUUUAGUUCCAUACAAUGGGAAAAUAUUUUCAAGUCAUAAUGAUGCUUAUGAAUUUUACAUGGGUUUUGCCAAGGCAUGGGGGUUUUCAGUGCGUCGUCAACGAAUAAUUGGAAAAGAAGGUGAUGGCAAUCGAACUAUUCGAAGAUACUAUGUUUGGGGGGAGCGGGGGUGCAUUUAACAAAUAAAUAAUUAUCUGCAAAUAAAGGAGAAAGAGAUUGAUCAUCAAGGAGAUGCAAUUGUGCAGCGCAUAUGAGUAUCGCAAAAGUCAUGGAUUCUAAUAUUUCAUAUUGGUGUGUUGUAACCUUUGAUAAUUUGCACAAUCAUGAUGUUCUCUACCCACAAGAAGGUAGAUUUUUGCCGGCUUAUCGUAGUAUUUCAGAAAGCUACAAGGAUUGUAUUCUACAAUUUUCAAAGUUGGUAUAUGUGUUAGAGAUAUGAUACGAUUGUUUGAAAUAGAGAGAAAUCUUAAACCAGGGGAAUUACCAUUUAUAGAUAAAGAUAUCUAUAACUAUGUAUGUGCUAUGAACAAUAUGAACCGCGACAAUGAUGCUCAUAUUCUCUUAACAAAAUGUAAGCAAAUGAAAGAUAGAGAUAAAUAUUUUAAGUACGCUUUUAUAGUUGGUGAAGAUAAUAGGUUGGAGCAUAUUGUUUGGUCACAUGGUUCUUGUUCUCGUGCAUAUGAGAUCUUCAGUGAUGUGGUAGUUUUCGAUACGACCUACAGGUCAAAUGGUUACUAUAUGUCAUUCGGCAUUUGGAUGGAUGUCAAUAACCAUGGUGACACUUGUUUAUUUGGGUGUGUUCUACUACGAGCUAAAAGAGUCCAAUCUUUUUCAUGGGCAAUGAAGGUAUGUGAUUUUUUACAAAUUAUGAGCUUUGAAUUAUUUGAUAUUUUUACCAAUGAUGUGUGUUUGAGCCUGCUUAUAUGUUUUUAGGGUUUCUAAAGCAUGAUAUAGUUGUAGGCAUUUGUAGGUCUAAUGAAUGGAAAGAUGCCACAAACAAUCCUAACUGAUCAGGACUUGGCUCUCAAAGAAGCAAUAUGUAAGGAACUCCUCAACACUUAACAUGCAUUUUGUAUAUGACACUUAUUAUCAAAUUAUCUGGCUGGUUUUUCCUCCUCCUUGUUAAAAGAUACAAUGAGUUUAACACCGACUUUUACAAGUUAUAUAAUCUUGAGUCCAUUGAAGAUUUUGAAGAACUCGCAUGCAUUAGUCAAUAAGUUUGCAUUGCAUUCUAAUAGACAUAUUAACAACUUGUGGAAUUUAAAAGAGUUUUGGGCAUUACCAUACUUGAGAAGCCAUUUUUUUGCUGGACUGAAAACAACGGGACGUUAACAGUCCAUCAAUACAUCUGUGAAGCGAUUCUUGAGUUCACAGACUCCGCUUAGUGAAUUGAUAGAUCAGACAGUUGUUAUUGAAAUGAGAGAUGUAGUGAGUCAAAGACGUUUGAUGCAACAAAAGUCCAACAAUGUGGAUGUUCGAACAAUGUGCCCCUUCAAAGAUCAUGCAGCACACGUCUUAACUCCUUAUGCAUUUUCAAAGAUACAAGAAGAAAUUAUUUCAUCUUUCCAGUAUUUGACAUCAAGAAAGGAUGAUGGAACUUAUGAAGUGACACUUUUCAAAAAAAGAAAAAGGGCAAAAAGUUUCUUUGAUGGUUGACAAUAUUAUGAAUUACAGUUGUAAAGGGUUUGAGUUUACAGGUAUCAUUUGCAAGCAUUCUCUUCAUGUUCUCUUCAAGGAAAAUUUUAUUCAAAUUCCAGACCGAUAUGUGCCAAAACGUUGGAGGCACUCUACAUUAUUGAUAUCAAAUGUUAGCUCGAGCGCAUCAGCUGCAUAUGUUGAGCGUGUCCAAACUAUACAAUCAUUAGCAUCAACAAUUGGUACAAAAGUUGCAAGAUUUGAUGAUUGUUACAAGUUCAUUAUGGAGCAAUUUUCAAGAAUUUUGGAACAUGUUGAAGAAGUAGAAUGCAUGAGGUCUCCUAUGGUAGAUAAAACAUAUAAUGCAAGUCUAGCAAGUGAAGAGAUGAAAAUAGACUUCAUUAUGAAAGCAUCCAUGUAAAAAACCCUGCUCGGUCUAUUACAAAAGGGCGGCCUCUUGAAAAAAAGUUAAAAGUCCCAUGUUGAAGUUGCUAAAAACCCUACAUAUUGUAAGGUUCCUUCAUGUGGCCAAACUGGCCAUGAUUAUAGGAAUUGUCCAUUAAGAAGAGGUUAAUUUAGUAGGUAAUCAUUAUAUAUUAGAGAACACCAUUCUUAGUGUGAUGUUGACACAAUUUUUGGGCUAGAAAUGCUACUUUGCAUAUGAGAUUUUUGAGCAUUUACAUGUGAUAACUUCGUAUAUAUAAUUUUGGAGUUGUACAUAAUGAUUAUUG